Molecule: long non-coding RNA, 280 nt
Organism: Myotis brandtii (Brandt's bat)
Lineage: Eukaryota; Metazoa; Chordata; Mammalia; Chiroptera; Vespertilionidae
Exons: 3
Source: RefSeq, a predicted model, not a curated record
UCUCCAACCAAGCUGUUUCUUAAAUUAACAUAAAAUUGUGUUUUAUAUCUUUGAUUUCUCUUUUAACUCCUGGUAUAGAACUCCACCAAUAAAAAUAUUCAGUAAAUGAAGAGACUAUAGAAUCUGGAAAUAGAUGUAGUCUCUUGUUACAUUGAACUUUUCAUUACAGCAUUUGGCCUAGAAUGAUUUGACAUAUCCAUCUUAAAGAUAAUAGCAAAAAUUAGUAGAAGAGCCCUAACCGGUUUGGCUCAGUGGAUAGAGCUUCAGCAGAUAGGAAGAG